Molecule: RNA transcript, 15066 nt
Organism: Orcinus orca (killer whale)
Lineage: Eukaryota; Metazoa; Chordata; Mammalia; Artiodactyla; Delphinidae
Gene: TTC19
Gene name: tetratricopeptide repeat domain 19
Exons: 11
Source: RefSeq, a predicted model, not a curated record
GUCCGCAGAGGACGCGGAUGGCCAUGCACCGGAUCCUGGGCGCGGGCCUGGCUCUACGUCUCCUGCGGGUGGCGGGGCGGCGGGGCCGGGGCUGCCCGGCGCGCCUGCUGCCGGGUCCGGCGGGAGGCCGAGCGCCCGCGGCGGACGUGCCGCCGUGCCGAGAGGCGCCGCGAGGCCUGGGCCCGGGCCUGCUGCCGCUGCUGGCAGCGCUCGCCUGGUCCUCGAGGCCCGCCCCGGCGGAGCAGGAGCAGGAGCGGGAGCGGCAGGGCGCGGGCGCGGGCGGGGCGGCGGCCGGGGACGCCGAGGCCGAGAUCAUCCAGCUGCUGAAGCGAGCCAAGUUGUGCAUCAUGAAAGAUGAGCCAGCAGAGGCAGAGCUAAUUUUGCAUGAUGCUCUUCGUCUUGCCUAUAAGAGUGAUAACAAGAAGGCCAUCACUUACACUUACGAUUUGAUGGCCAACUUAGCAUUUAUACGGGGUCAGCUUGAAAAUGCGGAAAAACUUUUUAAAGCAACAAUGAGUUACCUGCUUGGAGGGGGCAUGCAACAGGAAGACAAUGCAAUAAUAGAAAUCUCUGUAAAGCUGGCCACUAUUUAUGCUGCUCAGAAUAGACAGGAGCUGGCUCUUGCUGGUUAUGAAUUCUGCAUUUCAACUCUAGAGGAAAAAAUUGAGAGAGAAAAGGAAUUAUCAGAAGACACUUUGUCAGUGGAAGAGAAAGCCAACACCCACCUCCUCUUGGGCAUGUGCCUAGAGACCUAUGCCCGCUACCUUCUGUUCUCCAAGCAGCCAUCACAGGCACAAAGGAUGUAUGAAAAAGCUUUGCAGAUUGCUGAAGAAAUACUAGGAGAAAGACACCCCCAGACCAUCGUGCUGCUGAGUGACCUGGCCACCACCCUGGAUGCGCAGGGCCGCUCCGACGAGGCCUGUGUUCACGCACAGAGGGCGUCAGACCUGGCGAGACAGGUGGAGCACCCUGAGCUCCACGUGCUGCUCAGUAAUCUGGCUGCGGUCCUGAUGCACAGAGAACGAUAUGCACAAGCAGAAGAGAUCUACCAGGAAGCACUGAAGCGAGCAAAGCUGAAAAGAGAUGAGGUUUCUGUGCAGCGCAUCAGGGAAGAGCUGGCUGGGCUGUCAAGAAAAAGGAGACCUUUGUCGUAGCCUUGCCGAGCUCUGGACCCCUUUCUGUUAUAGCGAAUUUAUGGUAACACCUCUCAUUCCAGUCCCAGUGGCACCCUGAUCAAUGGCUUAAAUCCUCUGUCCUUGAUACUCAAGUCCCCUCAACUUAGCCUUGCUGGAGGACAGGCUGUACACACUGUGUGCACUGCCGCGUUUGCUUUGCGAAGAAAGCUCCCCCCCCCCACCUGAUUUUGCUUCUGCGACUGGUGUCGGUUAAUGCUUUCCGUUGCAGCAGACGGCUGGUUAGGUGCUGUCCAUGCUGGCCCGAGCAUAACUCUAGAUUAAGAGGGGCCAGUUUCCCUCUGGGGUGGGGUCUGGCAUUUCAGCCAGGCGUCUCUCCCAUAAGAUUUUUGUCCACUGAUUUGCUGCCUUCUCUUAUCAACACCUGGCAGACCAGAGCUACCGGUCUCAUGGCAAAGGGGGAUGACGGUUUUACUGAGAAUUUCUGACCCUCCUCGUUGAUGCGGCUCCCGGUCCCGGAACACCUGCGGGAGUUUUCAGACAGCUCCUCUGCACGCGGCGCGGUCACUACAGUUCACUGCACUGAGGCAGCGAAACGAGGAGGACUGGCCUGCCACUGACGGGGCUGAAUCCAAAGGUGAACUGUUCACAGUAGUAUAAAAACUUGAACUAUCUCACUGGAGCUUUCAGGGCAUGGAUAUUUUAAGAUAGAAUCACCCAGCACACCCACAUUCAAGCACUACGAAUCUUCUCAUCAUGAACGUGCGGUGGACACUGGCUGGCUGUCACAGUUCUGUGAACUGUAACUUCGUUCUGGGUGCUAAAAAAUAGUCACUUGCCAGGCUGUAGCUUCAGAACCCUGGGGUCUCAGCCCGCAGCAUCCCGCCUCGGUUCACAGCUGACUUGGCCAAGUCACGUCACGCCGGGUGGGCCUCCACCUCCCACACGGUCUGCCUGCUCCGCAGGCCAGCACUCCGUCCUGCCCUUGUUCUGAACCGAGGCGGGACCGUGGGUUUUGUCUCCCGUUGUGGGAUCUCUUCUCCAGGUGACGGCAGGUGAAGUAAAACAACUUGCACUGUGAUGAGGAGGGGUGAGUGGUCAACAGCCGCCCCCUUUGGGUCCUGAGUGGAGCUGCACAGGUUACGCACAGGGCUCUGAUCUGACGUGUUCUCAAGAACUAGUCAUAGAAAAAUACCAGCAUCAUCUCUUUGGGACUGUUGACAAAUAAUUAAAAUCUAAAAUGUUACUAGUACCUAAACAAAACUUUAAGCAAAAACCUUAAGUUACUGUUUUUCAUUCACAUUAAAACUUUUAAAGUAUUUAUAAAGUCGUACCAGCUUUCCGAGUAGUAGGGAUUUGACCACUACACCUGAUCUAAAGCUUACUUGGAGGACCCCAAGCAUACGCAGGUGCGCAGUUCCCUUAGCUUCAGACAGGUGUCGGUCUGUGGCCCUGUCUUCGUUGCUUAUUUAACUGUGGGCAACGUACUGAACCUGCAUCCACAUCGAUAAAAAGGGGACUAGACACCAAGGUCCCCUCCACUACAGAGGAGGCGCUUAGUCAGUGGUUGUCGGACACCUGCUGUCUUUAGAGGCUUGAGUACUUUUGCUUAAAAGCUCAGGUCUACUUAAGAGUCUAUAAAGUGCUAGUUUUUAUCUUUCUGAGAGACCUCUAUCUCGGUGGCAUUCCCCCAAAACCAUUAGCAUCCGUGUGCUACAGAAGGAUGCUUCAAUGCUAUGUUAAAGUUGUAUGAAAAAAAGUUUUUAAUUCAACAAGCAAUUAUUAUUGAAGGGUAAGACUGAUCCUCUAGUACCAUAAUGGGUUUAAAAUUCAGUCUUUUAAGUUAUUUGCUUCUUGAGAUUCAGUGAAAUAAAAACACCUGACGAACUCUUGCCCACAAGGAAUCAAAGUGAAAGUAAGCACAGGGUGGCACGAAGGGGAAAGGACUGGCUGCUCCCCACGAGAGCUCAGGUUAUGCGGCACGAAGCAAACCUAAAACACUGAGGUUCUGCACAGACUGUAACCUUCUGACUCUCAACCAAUAAUAGCUAUCAAACUAAAGGAAAGUGUAAGUUUUUCCUUUGAAACCUGAGACAGCGAAAGGCUCACAUCACAAGUACUCUACUGUAGCUAGUGGACAGGGCGGUCAGAUUUAUUUCAGAACAAAAGCUUUGCUGGGCUGCAUCAAAUGCAGGAGAGGAGGAGUGCUUGGGUGUGGUUAAUUACCAGUGUGCAUAACAGUGAGGUAUGCCUCAAAUAAGCCUUUAAAACCUUAAAAACUGAACUAUAACAAUACCCAUGCAGUACUAUUUUUUCAGUGCUUCUAAUUAAAAAAAUUAAAGCCUGCACUGGAAAUUUACAGUAUGGCAGAAUUUUGUUUCUCCUUUUGACCCUAAUACGUUAACGUACAGAUUUUAUGACAGGGUCUGUGUUAAAAAUCUAAACAUUUAUCACAAGAUUUUAAACAUCACUGGGAAUCUGAGUUUGGAGGAAACAAAAUUGGAUAAAAGUACAAUGCCCGUGACAGCCAAUAUUGUAUAACUGGGCUGUAUGAGGUUGUUUAGAAGGCAAAGGUUAAAAAGACGAGAUUUUUAAAAAUUACCCCCAGAGCUGAUGCGCUGAUUUGAAUAUAAGUACACGAGAUACUAGAGCGAGGGGAAACACUGCAAAAAGGCCAUCUAUUUACAGAAGAGUGAUUGAAAGACAUGAUGAUUUUCUUUACAAACAGAUGUAAGGACAGGAAUUAUCCACUUUUUAAAAACUCUACAUUGCAACCCUCCACUAUUAUUAUGAUCCACUGAACUGCCUGUAUCAGGGCAGCCUUUUCCCCUCAUUUGACUCUUGAAAUAAACUUCCAUCAUUUCGUCGUCUGUGGCCCAGGCUCUCCUGAAAAGUCUCUGGGCACAAGUCCUAGGAGGGCAGGCUUUUGGCCUGCACUUAAAACUGAGACCACCAGAAACUAGAGCCCCUCCCCCACCCAGGGGGCCCCGGGACCCCUUCCCGCAGGUCAGUCGCUGUCGGACAGCGUCUCAUACUGCGCGGAGAGCAGCGGGGCCGGCUCCCGAUCCCAGAUCCUGCUCGGCUGGUGAGGGGCGGCGGGGCUGGCAGAGGCGGGCGCACAGGCGACGGGCGCACAGGCGACGGGCGCAGGGGGCGUGCUGCUGAGCAUCCGCAUGGUCAGGGGGUUGUAGGGGAACUGUGUCGAGCCUGCGGGAGGAGGAGGGUUAGGUUAUGCGCGUUCCGCUUCUGUUCUGGGCAGUGGAACCCCCUAGCGAGGCUGUGAUAUGGAAGCGGUGUUCGAAGCAGCGCUAACCGAGGCACUGACGUCGGCUGCUUUCGGACUCCCAGCAGCUCCUUACCUGUGGAGGAAGGCCUGUCCUCCCAGGCCCAGCCUGGCGUCUGCCUGUGGUAGUCCCCUUCCGAGUGCACAGAGGAGGCCGAGGAGGGCCGUUCAGCUCCCAAGUAGCCUUGCCCCGGGAUGGGAGAUUUCGACUUCCUGCUGUUUGACUUGCUGAUCAGCUUUGGUUUGCAAACUCCUCCUAAAAGUGAAAUAAAUUAUUACUGCUGAUAUUUAGUAAUUAUGUUCUCAACUUUAAAAUCUACCAAAAUGCCGAUGAUUGUCUAAUGCUAAGUGAAGGAAGCAAAGUGGUAGCAUGAAGAAUCCAAACCCUAGUGCCUAAUGAAGUAAAGAAGUAACAUUUAAAAGAAAGCCAGAAUUUACUUAACAGCAGCUAAAGUCAAAACGGGGUAUGUCCUCAUGCCAUAAACUCAGAAACGUGUAAUCAAGGAACUAGCAUUUCUGGAACAUCAUUUCUUUCUUGGCCUUGGAGCACAGAAACUGCUUAAGGAAAUGGAAGCUGGCUGACAAAAAUCUUAAAUCCUCAUUUUUUCCUCCCCCACCAGUUUACAGAGGAGGAAUAAAACUGUAGAACAGAAGCCCCUUCAGGGCACUACUGGACCUCAGCAGAGCCUGACAAGUCAAGGUGGCCCUUUCUGCUGCUCCAGGCUGUACAGCUGAUGAACUCAGCAGGAGUUCACAGGAGUGGGAAGCCCCAAGUGGGCUCUAGAACAAAACGUGAAAAAGAUCUCAGAAGAGAUCAGAGUCCAGGUCACCAGCAAAUGUUUUCCUCAGCCCUAGCAGAACAGUCUCACCCUGCCCCCAGUCCUUCGAGGUACAGAAAAAAGGAACAGAAAGCAACUUUGACCCCUCCAACUAUCUGGAAAAAGAAGAAAUGCAAAUCCUUGGUGAUAAGGAAAAGAAUAUAAUAAAGAAAUGGGCGGGGGAAGGGGCAGGGAACGUGAUUCAAACACUGGAGAAAACUUCGGAAUACAUGAAGCCAGUUUAAGAAAAGCUCAAAGAAUAGAUAACCAAAAUGAAAGGGGCGAAAGGGCUUAGGAAACAAAAGACAGAACAGCAAGGGUCAGAAUAGACACGAGGGAAAGGGAAUUAUUAGUGCAAAGGAAAAAUUUGAGAGACUCGCAGUAAAAGCAACAGAAAAAGAUCAAGAUGACUAAAAUAAUUAGAAGGUUAACAGAUACAGAGGUCAAAAACUAUCCAGCAAAAAGGUAACUUUCUGAAAUGGAGGGCCCAAAAGAAAGAAAAUAACUAAGAGGAACAGUUGGUAGAACAUUUCCCUGAAUGCAGGUAUCAACCUGAAGGGGCAACACCCUCCUGUGAGCAACAGGGUGAGGAGCACUAACACACUCAUGAUAAAUUUACUGAAAUCGAGGUAAAAAAAGGAUUCUUUGGGCAGAGAGUCACCACCAAAAAAAGGUGGUGGUGGGGGAGACAUCUGGUCUUAUUUUUUAUACAACAACGAAUGCCAGAAAAAAGCCUAACAGUGUCUACGGGAUAUUUUGAGAAAAGUACGUGCUGAGUAUCACAACCUGCCAAACUGCCGUCUCAAACAUAAAGGCAGCAAGAAGACACUGUCGAGCACGCACCUCAGGAUACAGCAGCCUUUCGGAGAAAACAGGGUGUGAAAACCUUACCAGAAAGAAACGCCAUAAUAGAAAGAUUAUGUAACCAGGAUAACUGUAACUGUGUAAGUCACCAAUACUACAACCUUAAAACACACACACUUAAAAUCAAUAAAAAUCGGAAGGUUAGAGCAGAGAUGGGAGACAGUGGCUCAUCUUUUAGAGCAGGAAGUAAAUUCAUAUUGUCCUAAAAUUAACAUAUAUAUGUAAAAAUAAAUAACUAAAGCCCCUAAUCUCUUUAUCUUUUUCUUAACCUUAGUGAGAUCGUCUGUUUGACCAUAACAGGAAAAUAAACUAAACUUGAAAUGUUACUAACCUUCAGGUAGUUUUUAAGGUAUAAAGGAUUAAGAAGAAAGCUUAUAUAUACACAUAGAAAGAGCAGAGUCCUGGUUCUUGUGUGCUUGCUUCUAACAGGAUGCAUACAAUUACCUCAUUCCAAUAAGCUGUCCUUUUAUGUAAACACCACCACUAGCUUUCUGGACGAUGUGAUCUGGUUUUUUUCCCUCUUUUCUGUGGCUUAAAAUUCUUUUAUACUGAGCCUGUCAUUUUUAUUACAAUACUAAGUUACUUUGAUUCAAGAGCAGAAUAUGAAAUUGCACUUGUAUUACAAUGUAUGUAUACAGAUAAGGACUAGAUGCAAGCAAAAAGGGUGACUUUCUGGGUAAAAAUUUUCAUCCUUUUAAAUUUCACAUUACUAAUAUGUCUGAGCAGGUUAGAAAAAAGACUUCGUUUAAGUAACUAAAACCUUCAGAGGUGACUCAGCACAUAAAUGAAAUCUUAGUGAUCCGUUAGAACUUGGGGUAUAAAUUGGCUUUUUCUUGGGAAAGGCGGCAGAAGAGCAUGGAAAUGAGCCCUUUACCUGAAUGAGGUGACGGGUCCCCUUCCUCUCUCCGGGCCUCACCGCUGGUCGCCACCGAGGUGCCGGCACCACCAGGCACCCCCCCCAGGGGCUGGGGCAUGGCGACCCCGUGGUCCUCCACUUUGUCUUCAAAGCUCCCCAUGAGCGCCUUCCGGAUGAUGUCCUCCAGCCCGAGGUUGCUGGCAGGGUCAGCAAAGGAAUGACCUCGGGAGCUCACGGAGCCUGCAAAAGACGAGCAGGACGAGUCUGCCUGAUUCCGAGGGCAGGUCGGGAGACAGGAGCCCCCCCAGGACACGCAGCACCUGGCAAGGUGCCCACAACACAGAGCCCACGUGGAGGCCGGCUAACUAAGGCCAGCGAGCGUAGCUCACAGGCAAUGUGGUUUUCUUUGUUAAAUCAGGCACCCAACUUGUGUGAGAGUUGCUCGAGGAUGGCUUCCUUCUCUUUUUAGCUCUUUAAUAGUUUUGACUCUCUUUCUUCAUUUAUCUUUUCAACAAGUACUCACUGAAUCUCAACUCAUUAUUUACCGCCAUUGACUCCCUCCCUCCCUGACUAAACGAUGAGCUUUCCUGGAGCAGUUUCCUGUAUGCAGUCGGUAUUCGAUACCUAUUUGCUGGACUGACUGCUACUGUACCAGUUUCCUGUUGGCAAACAAUGUCUUUUGAAUCUUACCUGAGGUGGUGACUGCUGGCAGGUUAAAGAUCUCAGUUCCUGGCUGAGCAGCUGCUGUAUUUAAACAAACAUUCAAGUUAAUUGAGAUGUGAUAAUCACAUACAUCGAAAGAGAUAAAGUCUCAAAAAAAAAUCCUACAAUAAAAUUAAGCUUCUUAUUUUCCAUGAUCUCAACUUUAUUUUUCACCCAUUAAGUGAAGAUAAAGUGAAAGAAAUUUUUUUUUUUUUAAGAAAUCAGAAAGUAAGAAAUCAAAACAGGAGGAGUACUAUAAUAAUAUAGCCCAGGAAGGAAAGGAACUUUUGCAGUGCUGGAGAAAACACACAGAGGGAAAAGCUGCCCUCAGAACAGGAACCCAGGCUAGCCGGGGAAGAGAUGGUGACUCUAAGAAGACCCUGCAAAUAUCCGAGUUUGAGAUUAGAUCCGGGGGAAAGACGCCCCGUGAACGGCAAGAACAUGACCGCGUGUGUCCCUGCUGUGGUUACCUAGAAACUAUUUUUGAUCCCAGGAUGAGAUAAAGAUUCUGCCUAUUGGUUCUGUUUAUUCCUGCUAACUGUGCACUUUGUCAUUUGCUCAGUUUGAAUGACAACAGCUGGGACAACCUGGGAGCUACUUGUAAAGCACUGUGCCAGAAAUAGAAGGAAUUUGGGAACAUAAACGGUGUUUUCAUCACGUCUCCCAACUCGAUUUUGAGACUUUGAAAGAGAAAGAACGUAGGAAGUAAAGUCGGUGGCUAUAAACAAGCGGUGGCCCAGAGAAGAAUGUGCAGACCCCAGAAGGGGGGCCCGUCCAUGCAGAUGGGGAGCACAUAUGAGCCCAGACGCUGACUUCUGGGAUCAGGGAAAACUGUCCGGGCGGGAGAAGGAAGCUCCAGGAAGACUGCACAGCAGGGACCAUGCGGUACAGGCUCCUCACGUACAGGUCAGGAAAUGGUAGAUGAACGGAACUUGAAACAGCACAGGGUGGUAGGGCCAGCCUGGUAGUUACCACAAAACCUGGGGAAUAGGACUCAUUCAUUUCACAAAUAUUUACUGAGCGAUUAUUUGGCUGAAUAAUAAAAUCACCUUCAUAUUGAUCAAAAAUGGUCAUAUGAAAAAAAAAUGGUCACAUGAAGACAAUUUCAUAUUGUUCAACCAACGAUAACACUAAGGUACUGGACUUAAAAUGCACCCCUUCCUCCACCUGUGGAGCUCACAGGUCAGCGGGGUGCUCUCUGAGGCCAUCAGGUCUGAAUCACCUGGGGGGCUUAGUAAAGUGCCGGUUUCUGAGAUUCCUGCAGCCCAGUAGGCACGUGUUUUAACAAGCCCUCCAGGUGACUGUGACGGGUAGUGACGUUUGAGGGCCCCUGGUGUAAGACAGAUGGGCAGACUUACGAGAGGACACGGUAAUUACUCAGAAAUGAGGGAAAGGCAGACAGGCACUCAGGAGACGUUGAGGCUGACGGGACAGCACCCGGGAAAGCGAGUUGCGGAGCCUCGUGAGGGAACCGUGGAGCGGGGUGGCGGGGGGGCAGGAACAGAGGCCUCUGUGUGGAGAGCCAGCGUGGGGAGUCAUUUUAGACAUUUAAGGAGCCAGUAAGACGUUCAAGAAGCAAUGAGGGCAGCAAAGAGCUUAGCAGAAAAAGCUGAACUCGAGGUACAAGUUUGGGAGUUUUUGGCACAUAGUGCAAACCGCCAGAGUGGAUGAAACGCCUCCGAGAAUACGGUGCAAGAGGAGAGACUGAAAACCAGCACCCAAGAGCCAGGCACAGCAGGACGUAGCUUCUAAGGACACAUAAGAAAUGGUCAAAGAAGUAGAGAAAAGAACAGGAGAAAGCAGUCCCUGAAAGCCAAGAGGAGAAAGUAUUUCCGGAAGAGGGAAGUGGGUCACUAAUGUCAACGGCAGAGAGAUCAGAUAAAGUAAGUUUUAAAGCAUGAAGUUUUUUGCGCAGUAAAGGCACUGAUGUCCUCGGUGGGAGCCCUGAGGUGAAUUGAAGCUGUCUUGCUUGCCCAGGGCUUGGAUUUCUCGGUUCUACUUCCUGGUGAGAACCCAAUGUGCCUGGGGUCCCACGAGCCCACUGGUUCCUUAGUACAACCCCUUAAUUGUCCCUUUCCACAAUCAGAAAUCCCAAACUAAAGCAAAUUUUGUUAGUACUUUGCCUUACGACAUUAAUAAAAUUUAUCUUCUGUUAAAGUUAGAUACUUGUUUCAUUAUACAUUUUCACAGAGUAGAGACCAUCUGUCAUUCUAAAAGCACCCAACAGAGCACCCUGCUCGAUAAAUGAUUAUUGAAUUAAUGAAUGACCGGGCUACUGCCUAAGGACAAUGGAAAACAUUAGAAGAGAGAAGAAAACUAUAAAGUAGGCUUCUUCAAUUCAUACAUAGCAUUUUCCUAUCAAGAAGAAUUUCUUCGUCAAGAAGAAAGAAAGAAUAUCUGUAAGCCUGAGGGCAACUCUGGUCAGCCUUCUAAAGUAUUUCUUUUGGACAAUUUGUUGCCAUUUAAAAAGUGAAUCUAGUAAUCAAGAGCUAGGAUAACUACACAAACAAGUGACACUGCUCCUCUUUUUUUCCCUGGGACAUUUGGCCUUUAUUAAUCACGAAGUGUCACAGAUCCAAACACACGUCCACCUGGCAGUUUAGAGCAGGUAGCCCAGAAGUAAAGCAGACUGUAGGAGGCCUGGAUUCUACAGGGCAUCCCACACAGCUUCUGCGUCACUGGAUACACGUGAGGAAAGGACCACGAGUAAGCCUGGGUGAUGGCACGAGUGCUGAAAACAGCGGGCACGUGCAUGUCCACCCUAAGGAAAGGCUUGGAUGCCCCAGAGCUCUAUCCCAGUGGACAUUUGCCAGCGGCCUGGGUGAGGAUGCCGAGUGCAGAACUACUGGAAGCAUGGGCUCUGGCGCUGGAAUUCCUGAGUCUGAACCACAGCCCAAGUCACUAGUUAUGUAACUUGCAACAGCUAGGAAACCCGAGUCUCAGCUUCCUCAUCUGCAAAGCGGAGAUGAUUCCAGCACGUGGUGUGCAGGGUUUGUUAUGAAGAUUACAGGAGUCUGCAUAUUCCCGCUUAGAACGGAGCCUGGAGCACUGCAGUGCUGCACGUGGAGCUGCGGCGGCUGCUGCUCCUGGUGCCAGCACCGUCCUAGGUGGCGGGUCUAGCAGAUUCGCACGCCACCCACAAAGACACCGGCAGGGCAGAAAAGGAGCCAGCACAGAGGGCCUCGUCCCAUGCUUGGCGGGAGGGACACAGAAGGACAGCAAGGGGAGGCUCAAGGGCAGCUCAUCUCAGGAGGCCUGGUAUCUGUACCGACAUUAAGUGCAUUGGAACUUAACAGCACAGACCCCCUUAAAAUGAUGUCAAAAAGACCCCCUUAAAAUGAUGAAUGUGGUGUGGGUCCUACCACAGUACUCAGAACCUACUGAAAGGCUGAGCCGAAUAAAGCGUUUUUUGUGAAGAACACCUGGGCCGGCAGGAGUGCUCGGAACCAGGCCCCCUGAUGGACAGCCACUGGAACUGGGGUGCGUGUAAAGAAAAAACUGGAAGGGCAUGACCUGUCCGCAGACAGCUGAGACGGCCCGCACGGAGGAAGCGCAGACCAGGGCAGAAAACACUGGAGGGCUAAUCCCACCCCACGUGAGAAACAAACGUCCCAGACCCGGCACUUGUUCCAAGAGAACAUGGAGGGCUGCAGAAAGAGGCAGGUGCUUGCUCCCUAACAGGAAACCCUCUCGUGCCCACAGACAUUUGGGAAGCAGCUUCAGGAUCUGCUGUGUUUGGACAGAUGCCUGUAAGAGCCUUCGAACUCAAGGAUUACACGAGAGGCAACACUGGAGAUACCAUUAUUAAUGCGUAUUUUAUUGGGGUUCAUGAAAGAAAUCCCACUUACCCAUAUCAGAGUCACCUCCACCAGAGGAGUUCAACUUACGAAAGAUCUCCUGCUUCUUUGAUUUAACCAUGGGUGAGGUGUUUUCCAGCUUGGUGAAGAAUGAAGGCAAGUAGCUUAUACUCCCUGGUGAUCGGGAAUCAUUCCUGUCAGGGACAGUUACGCGUGUUACCAUCAUGCACUCCUACCCCGCCCAUGCUAGUACCAGUCCCAGGGUCCCUUCCCAUCUGUUUGUGCUGACAGCCUAAGGACAGUGUGUGACCAAAAGCCAGCGAGGACAUCACAUCUGAGGACACAAAGAUGACAUCAGAAAAUGAGGACUGGAAUAGAGAGAAUCUAGAACCAAGAUUCUUAACAAAGAGUGAAUGGACGUUAAUGGGAACACUCGUCACGAUUCUGUCUGUUCAACAGCACAGGCACUGAUAUAUUUAGGGUUACUAUGUAAGCUGGGAACUGUUUUACUAGCAGAAUUACUUUGAAGCACAAUAAAAGUGUAACUACUAGCACACCUGCCUAUAAAAUAGCAAGCACUCACACCUAAGCAACAAUUAGACUUGAACAGAAUAGCUACAAUGUAGAAAAAAUUACCUAUUUUAUUAGAAUCUUUUCAAGCCUGCGACCAGUUGAGCUGAGUUUCGCAUAAAGACUUCCUUUCAUAUUUCAUUGGCAGCUUCCUAUACUAACACAUUUAGAAAAACAAGUUUCCUCUACCAGUGCAGGACUACCAGGAUCUAACUAGUGCCAGAGACAGUAACAGAGAACAUAUGGAAAGGUGCUGAUAAUUUAAUCUGGUCCAUCACUCGAACAUAAGAACACCUACUGUAUCCAAGGAAGACAAAGAAGAAUGACUAAGACGUGGUCUUCGUCCUCAGAAAACUCACAAGCUUAGGGGAAACAUGUAAACGUAUAAUUAAAUUUAACAUCAUUCCCUUUCCAAAAAUGGAUUUCGUCCUCAUUUCCUUGAAAGGUACCAACCUCUAUUUGGUGGCCUAUUAAUAUAUACAGUAAGUAAAUAACUAUGACACACUGUUAAGAAAUGCACUAACGGUUUGGAGUGAGGCAGACCUUGGUCUAAAGCUGGACUCCCUCUCACUUUAUUUGAUCAGAGCAUCAGGGGAGGGUGUUCCACACCAAGAAAGCAGCACGAGUUCAGGUGAGGGAACUCAGGGCUCAGGGAGGGAAGCGUGAGGGUGGAGCAGCAGCAAGUGGGGUGAGGAGCGUGAGCCUGGCCACAAAGAGAUUCCAUGCCACGCUCGUGACCAAGCAAGUGCUGGAGUCCACUUGAGUUCUAGACAGAUCGCUGGUGCAAGUGGACCAGGCAGGGGCCAAGUCAAAGGCGUCUAAAAAACCAAAUGGGAAUAAGAAUCCAAUAAUUCCUAGGGUUGGGUUAGGGUCAGAAACUGCGAAGAGAACACACGGCAAGCAGCCCAGCCCAGGGGCUCACUGUGACCCCCUUCCACUCACAGCCCAGACGCUGGGUGCCCAGCAAGCACUCAAGUGGGGUUCAGCAACCACACAGACAGAAAGAUUUUAAAAAUAAGAUCUAGGACGACUUAACUUCGAGAAGAAUAAUGAACAACUAUGUUCUAUGACCUAUUUAAAUAUUACAAUUUUUUCAUUAAAAUCCACUGGCAUUAGGUCACUAGGAAAACAGAAACAAAACGAUCCGCCUGACACAUGACCCGGAAGAGGAAAAACGCACUGACUUCAGGAAAACGAAAGGCAUGCAGCGCGCGCACAGGCACCUCUGCUCCGCGGGCUCGGCUCCGCGCUGGGCCAGGAGCAGCACGCUGUCCUGUUUCUCGUGCACGACCGGAACCUGGGGUGGGGAGAUGGGCUCGUAGGGCUCGCUAGAGACGUGACUCCUCUCUGGGGACUUUCCAGGCCUGAUACUGGAACAUACAAAACAUUAGACAGUCUUCCCAGGGCUCACCUGCGGCUUACCCUGAACAGGAACUGGUUACCUCGUUACUUCAGUCAUUUCAAGGACCAAAAGUUGGCAAUACGUAUCAGAAAAAAGUGGCCUCGUAUACUCACUCUGUACCUAGUUAUUUUGAAAAAGUCUGUUACUGUUGCUUCGUCCAGGCACACGGAGUCGCAUGACAGACGGUGCCGGGGACGGGCCGCAGCCCGGGCUCUGUGGGGAGGUCACUGCCCAGCACCGGACCCCUCGUGCCCCUGGCCAGCUACUCCGCUGAGCCCUCCAGGGUCUUGUUGCUGAUCUCGAGCCAGGACCUACCAGGUUAUGUCCCCAUUAAGUUAAAAGACAAAGGACUUGAGCGCCACACUGACACCUGCAAUUUAAUGUUCUUCCUCUGGACACCAUGUUGUAAGGAUGGUGUGAGAUAAACACUGUUUGGGCCCAAAAAAGUUUUUGGUUUAGUAACUGUACAUAUUAAAAGCCCUCUGUGACCUUUAAUAUCUGCUUUUAUUACUAUUAUAGAUAAGUGUAAUUAUAUAUGUAUUACUUGUCAUUUCCUUCCCCAAUCUCACCCCAUCCGAUUCUUAGAGGUGGCCGUUCUUGGCCAUUUUUCUUUCAGUUCUUUGGUGGGCACCUCUAAAUCAUCUAAAUAAUCAAUCUUAUACCUUUCUUGAUGUAUCAGAACUUGAAACAGAAUCUUAUCAGUUUCCUUCCAUGAAAGAUGAAGAGCUUGACUACCUUCUCUAUGUUGUUGCCCAUUUUAUUUUAAUCUGUAGUUUGUCUACUUUAACUAUACACGUAGCAUACUCAGCCAUUUUUAUGUGAUUUACAGCAUUUACAUUCUGUUCUAAACUCUAGAAAAACUCCUCUGUGUUUUGCUCAUUGACUGAAAAAUCAGUUAAUGGUGUUUUACAACACUAUGGAUUUUGUAAACAUUUUAAACUGUAAAACCAGGUAAUCUGACUAAAACCAAUGAAAGAAAUGUAACGUUCCUCAUUCAAAUAUACAGGUGUAGGGCUUCCCUGGUGGCGCAGUGGUUGGGAGUCCGCCUGCCGAUGCAGGGGACACGGAUUCGUGCCCCUGGUCCGGGAAGAUCCCACAUGCCGCGGAGCGGCUGGGCCCGUGAGCCAUGGCCGCUGAGCCUGCGCGUCUGGAGCCUGUGCUCCGCAGCGGGAGAGGCCACAACAGUGAGAGGCCCGCGUUCCGCAAAAAAAAAAAAAAAAUGUACAGGUGUAGUGACGCAGAAAUUACAAGUGAAAAAGUCAAAAGGAUUUUCUUUUCAAAAAUGUCAUUAACUGCUCAAAAUCUAUGUAGUACUUCGUAUCAAGAAUGUACCACGAAUGACUCUGCUAUAGCUUUCUGUUCUUCUUUGAUAACAAGUUCUCUUCUUUGUUUUUUUGGUCUUUGUUAAAAGAGAAUGGGUUUUCAUCUUAUCCUUAAGAUCAUCCCGCUUCUUGAAAUGAUUAUGUCAUUUGAGAUUUGUUUCAAAACAACGCGGUCUGAGGGUAGGGCAAGUGGGGAUGAAAUGAAACAAACUGGUCCUGUGCUGACGAUCUUGAAGGUGGGCGAUGAUGCACGGUGGCAUCUUACUCUGUCCUCUCUACUUCUGUGUGUUCAAAAAGUCCCACAAUAAAGUUGUUUUUU